Molecule: ribosomal RNA, 568 nt
Filed under: uncultured Pseudomonadota bacterium
Lineage: Bacteria; Pseudomonadati; Pseudomonadota
Description: bacterial SSU rRNA
Rfam family: Bacterial small subunit ribosomal RNA
Source: RNAcentral
CUGGCGGCACGCCUAACACAUGCAAGUCGAACGAAGUAGCAAUACUUAGUGGCAGACGGGUGAGUAACAUGUGGGUAUCUGCCCUUUGGCCUGGAAUAACACGAGGAAACUUGUGCUAAUACCGGAUAAGUCUUUACGGAGAAAGCUUUAUGCACCAUUGGAUGAGCCCGCACUUGAUUAGUUAGUUGGUAGGGUAAUGGCCUACCAAGACUUUGAUCAAUAGCUGAUUUGAGAGGAUGAUCAGCCACAUUGGGACUGAGACACGGCCCAAACUCCUACGGGAGGCAGCAGUGGGGAAUCUUGCACAAUGGAGGAAACUCUGAUGCAGCGAUGCCGCGUGAGUGAAGAAGGCCCUUGGGUUGUAAAGCUCUUUCGUCGGGGAAGAAAAUGACUGUACCCGAAUAAGAAGGUCCGGCUAACUUCGUGCCAGCAGCCGCGGUAAUACGAAGGGACCUAGCGUAGUUCGGAAUUACUGGGCUUAAAGAGUUCGUAGGUGGUUGAAAAAGUUGGUGGUGAAAUCCCAGAGCUUAACUCUGGAACUGCCAUCAAAACUUUUCAGCUAGAGUAU